This is a long non-coding RNA of Brassica rapa (field mustard), 4598 nucleotides long. RefSeq lists it as uncharacterized. The record is from RefSeq and is a predicted model, not a curated record. NCBI's taxonomy places the organism in Eukaryota, Viridiplantae, Streptophyta, Magnoliopsida, Brassicales, Brassicaceae.
AUUGUCUCUUGUCGGACCCACAUUUUUUGUUGAAGGUGCUCGAACAAGGUGGGGGACGUUAGUUACUUCCGUUACUCAAUCAGUAAAAACGACAGUGUUUCGGACAUCGUCUCCGUUACAGUUAGUUAAUGACAGUUGUUCCUCGGUUACGGAAAAAACGAGAGUGGAGUAAACACACACCACAUUUAGCUGCCACAUAUUCUGGGUGGAUGUCACGUUCCAGAGAUGGAGCGUGUAGUAACUAACGUGGCUAAUAACGGUCGUUUGAAAACAAUGUCUGAACGUUUUUUUGACUCUUUGUCUUCGUUGAGUUGGGUCCCGUGGAAUCUUGUUGACUUGCUUUGACACGUGAAUUAUGAAUCUACAAGCGUACAUAUGUCUCAACAUUUAUAAUUAGUUUUUUUAUCAUAGUAAUUAACGUAUAAUGUUUUAUUAAUCUUUUCAACUUUAUAAAUAUUUCUUCGUGGACGUUUUUAUGUAUUAUUUGGAGAUACUGGUAGAUUCGUACAGUGUUAUAAAUCCUUUAAUUAAUGGAUGCUACUAUUCAUAAAUUUAUUAAUAAAAUUUCCGAUGAUUUCGAGGUAUACUUAUUUUCCAUAUUUAAUAAAUUUAAAGUUACCUUUAAAUCUUCUUAAUUGGUUAAUUAUGACCGAGUAAUGUACCAUAAAACUUGAGACUAACCAUUAUGUAAGAAGUAUAUAUCUAAAAUAUUAUCUUUUUUUUUUGUCACUGAUCUAUAAAAUAUUAUCAUAUUAUAUGUUUUUCACAUAUAAAAGGAUACUAAUACAUUCGUUUCAACAUUUUCAAAAUGAUGUAAUUUAUUACACUAAACAGAAAAUAAGAAACCCCAUUAACGUAAUUUUUUAAGUAUAGGCUAAGAUCUUCUUCUUUUUUUGAACGUAAGUAUAGGCUAAGAUCAAACGUGUGAAUUUGACUCGCGUGCCACAUAUACAUUGCAUUUGCAGCAAUGGCGUCAUAUACUAAUUUGAGUAAAAUUACAUGAGUAGAGAUAUGAUGCUCUGGUCGACAUGAGAAGAUAUAAACACUCACUACAAGAAAUAUGAAUAUUGGUAGCAGUUCGUGGUAGCACGAAUUCACGAACUGCUACCAAAAGUGUUAAAAUCGAAUCACAACUCUAUUCAAGCUUUAAAUUUGUGCUACGAAAAAAUUUCAUUAAAAGGAAACCGAAAAAUCAGUUUCGUAGCUGGAAUGUCAUUUUGGAGGUAAAAACACUUGGUGAAAUUUCACAUUCGCACCAAAAAAAAUAAGUUAUUUUUUACAAAAGAAAAAAUAUUCAUUCUCUCCAUCUUCUUCUUCUUCAUUGUUCAUUCAGAAUUGAUCUAUCAUUUCAAUCGAAGAAACAUGAUCCAUUGGCCUUGUUCGAAGUCGAAUUAAGGAACCCUAAUCCGUCAAGCCACUGGAUCUCGUUGUCGUAGACUCUUCGUCUUCUUCCCAAAACUCCUCCAUCCACGGCGAAUUGGCUCCUUCGCCUUCCUCCGUCGCUCUUCGCCACCAUCAGUUUUGCCAUCUCUCGCUUCUUCUUCUUAUUCCUUUCGUAUUAUCAAUUUCAAUUGCUCAGGUUUGUAAAAGCUUCCACCUUUCUUCAAUGGUUCCUCCACAGGCUUACGAUAUUCUCACUUAUACUAUCUUAAACUUUUGGGCUUAGGUCACUGAGGAGCAGCUUGAUGGUUUGUUCAUCGGCUUUGGGCAGGUCUAAGUCUUCUUUACAAGUUCAUCUUUGUUUGUGGUGUGUUCUUUAUCAAGACUAGUUUUGGUUGUUUAGGUUGUUGAAUGUUUCACCACAUUCUGGGUCGGGUCUUGCUUUGUCUCCGCCGUUUUCUCCACCGCUUCAUAGAUCCGCCGUGUUCGAGCUCGUGGCCGCCAAUCUAAGGUACGUUUGUCUCCACUGGAGUUUUGACUGUCUUGUACUUGCUCAUUUAUUUGUUUCUUAGUUGGUCUCAGUGAACAUACGUGAUUGAACUUGUAGAACUUAUCUAAUAUUGAGUUGCUGUUUGUAUUGUCUCUUUUUUUUUGUCCAAUCUGAAGUUGUGUGAAGAAAUCUGUGGAGAUUAUGAGGAAGUUCUCAGAGCAGUACGCUCGUUGCUCGGGAACUUACUUAUGUGUUGACAAAGGAGUUACUUCUGUCGUCAUCAAGGUUUGUAAAUUAACCUUAAAGUCUCCAACUUUCUGGUAGAAUUGUGUUGACUCAGCUUUCUGUUCUUUGUUCAAAGAUUAUAUGAUUUGGAGGAGAUUGGUUCUUUCUACUUGUAGAUAAUGACUUGCCAGAAGAUGUUUGGCGUUGUUUUCUUGAUAUAUAUACAGUAGGCAGUAGCUAUUAGAAAUCUUGAUGUGGGAUUUUGUUGAACAGGUGGUGUUUUCAUCAAAAGUUUCUAUCAUUCGAUUGGUUAUGAACUACUUGAAGAAAAACUGAGUUAGUUCAUGUGAAGAUCUUGAAAUCUAGUGCUUAUUAACUAAUGAAGAUGUUGAGUUUCUUCUUGUAAUAGUGAAUGAAUCUGCUGAAAAAAUUGAGUCGGUAUUAAUUAAAAUCUUCAGUUCUAGUGCUUAACUAAACCAAAUGGAUAAGUCUUCUAGUUGUAGAAUAGUGAUUCAGUGAUUCUACAGAAGAGAUUGGUCUAUGCAUGUGAACAUUUCGGCCUCUAGUUCUUAGCUAAUGAAGUGGUUGUUUCUGGGAACGGGGUAUGACUGAGCAUAAGGAUUCGUAUAGUGCACCGCUUUGUCCUUGCAGGUGAUCUUUGGAAUUUUUUUGAAGAUUGAAGAUGAAGCCCCUAGACUUAAUUGUUUUUGUUUAUGUGUAUUUUUGGAUGAUAUAUGAAAUAAUGUAUGUUUUAUAAAUUUAAUGAAAUAUAAAUUUUUAUUUAUAGAUCAAAUUGCCAUGUUUAAAUGAUAAUUAGAGUUUUGUUAUAAAAUAUUUUAUAUAUCAUCGUAUAUUUUAUAUAGUUGUGUUAGAUGUAAAAAAUCAUAAUUUAUUGCAAAAUAAUUGUAUUUUAAUUUAUACUUUUGAGUGUAAAACACUAAAACUAAAGCAUAAAAAUGGAUUUUUAUUAUAUAAUAUUUUAUAUAUAAUAGUUUAGGGGUUUAUAUGUUUAGUGUGAGACUAUUAUAUGGAAUUUGGUGUACUUCAUGUUCCUAAACCCUAAACAUGUUUCUAUACCCUAAACAUUAAUUUUAAAACUUAAUUUUUUUCAUAAUAUAAUUUAAAUCUAAAACUUAAAUUCAAAAUCUAUAGUUUGAUCAUAUUUAAAAUCUAAUCUCAAAUUUAAAAUUUAAACCUCAAACACUAAAUCUUAAAUCUACACCCUAAAUAUAAUACCCUAGACCCCAAACUUAAACCCUACAUACAAAGUCAUACUAAAUAUAAUCUUUUCAAAUAACUACUAAACUAAAACCUAUUCCUUGUAUAAAUCACAACUUUAUUAAUCUUUUUCUUUUCAAAUAUUUAUCUCAAGUUUUAACUUAGCCACAAUUCUAUUUCACAAAUCUCAAACCAUAUACUUUAAACUCAAUCACAACUAUAUAAACUAAUAGUCAACAAUUAUAACAUUAGUUAAUAAAAUUUUAAAACUAAACUUAUAAGUAUUAAUUUAAAAUUUUAAUUUGAUUUCAAACAUCAUAUUUUAAAAUUAUAAACCAAAUUAUCAAAAUAUUUAAAAUAGUACAGCAAAAGAAAAAAACAAAAAGAAAAAAAAUUGGCUAGCUAUUAAAAAAGAAAAGAAAAACUAUGGGCCAAUCAACUCUCAUCACGCGGAUAACCUUCUGCACCGUAGGAUACAAUUAAAUGAAUGGCUGAGAUGUUUUCUUUUCUUUUUUCUCUUAUCUUCACAGAUCUCUUUUCUCUCCAUCUCUCUUCCAUCGACAAAUCUCUCCUCCAUCUUCUAUUUUCAGAUUUCAUCUCCUCUAUCUUUAUUCUUAAUCAUCUCUCUCUCUCUCUCUCUCUCUCUCUCUCUCUCUCUCUCUCUCUCUCUCUCUCUCUCUCUCUCUCUCUCUCUACUCCCCUCACUCACGAACAAGAUUCAUCUCACACAGACACGUUUCUGUGUCUCAGUCUCGUAAUCUUUCUCUCACAUACGACACAUCUCAAAAAAGCAGAUUAUUCAAACCAGGCAGGACGACGACGACCGCUGGUUCUGUCUCUCUCUCUCUCUCUGUCAGUUUAAAUCUGAUUUUAUUUGUUUUGUUUGUAGGGUCGAUUCAACACAUGAGAGGUUGGAGAAAAUGAUUGUACAUCCGCUCAUCACAACCACCACACCAUCGCAUCUCAGAUCCAUUUUCGUCGUUUAAGAAGGCGUAGGAGGCUGAAGAAACUUGAUGGUGGUGGUCUCGGCAUCAACAGUGGUGGUCUCGGCGUCGACAAUGGUGGCUGAGCGCGGUUGAGGAGACUGAAAAAUCUUUACCGUGGUGAUCGUGGCUGGUGGUCUUGGCGUCAACAAGGAGUGCGCCGGAGAUUGAAGAAGAACGUGGUUUAGUUAGGUUUGGUUAGGGUUAGUUAAUAAACCGGGUUUGGCUGUAAACCGGUUUUUGUAAUAAACCGAUAUCAUCUGUAAACCAAAAUUUUAAUAAUAAAUAAUUUUAUUCUCAAA